This is a non-coding RNA of Jaculus jaculus (lesser Egyptian jerboa), 139 nucleotides long. Lineage: Eukaryota; Metazoa; Chordata; Mammalia; Rodentia; Dipodidae. The record is from Ensembl.
UGGCUCAGUUUCCUGGGUGGUGGAUUCAGCUAUCCCACCUCCCCUCAGCAGAGCCUAGAGUAACAGGGGCUAGUGGCUGCCUGUGUGGGAGAGGUGCUUAAGCAAGGAGCCUUGCCUGGGCUGCCCUAGCCCCACAUUU